UUCGGACGUCUCUCUCUCUCUCUCUCUCUCUCUCUCUCCCUCUCUCUCACCAUCUCUCUCGUGUAUAAAUACAUGGACCCUCUCUGGCUAGGAAACAACACAACCUUCUCACCAAAGAAGUCUAUAAACACUCAUCUUCCUCCCUCGGUUUUCUAAGGAAUUGAAGCAGUGAAGAAUCUGUGAAGCUCAGGAGGGAUAGCGCCAACAAAAUAACAUAUGCAUGGUGAUCUCUAUUCCUGAAUGUGUGUAUUUGUUCAAACUGUCGCGCUAUCCAUCCUGAGUUUCAUAGCUUUUUCAUGCUCGGGAUAUCUUUUCCAGGGCUGGAUUCUGUGACGAGAUGAUGCACCUACGAAGGUACUGCAAUUGGCCGAGCUAAUGAUGUUAUGAGAAAUGGAGCUGACAGGGGAUUGCUGUUGAAACUUGAAAGUGGCCAUAACCCAUACUAGUUACUAUGUAAAUAUUUGAGUAGUAGCUACUACAAAUUAAAUCUGGAACAGAGCAAUGGCAGCUCCAUUGGACUAUUGGAGUGAAAUCUUUAAAGUUUAGUCCUGCAAGAGCCAGAUGGACUCUAGUGAAUGCUAGAAGCAAGUGUAUUGGCACCUGUGGGAUAUGAGUCCAUGAUUCAGCAUCAUUGUUAUAAUAAUCUGUUACUAACUUGAACAAUUAACAAAGACUGUCAGGAACUGUAUGCAUAAAUUUUUCA
This is a long non-coding RNA of Daucus carota subsp. sativus, 703 nucleotides long. RefSeq lists it as uncharacterized. The transcript is spliced from 2 exons. Lineage: Eukaryota; Viridiplantae; Streptophyta; Magnoliopsida; Apiales; Apiaceae. The record is from RefSeq and is a predicted model, not a curated record.